AUGACCUGUGUGGAAAAGCGACACAUGAGCCAUCGGGUGGGGAGCAUGCUCCACCAUCGCUUCCCCAACGGCUUCACCGACUUGUUCAUGGACGAGACCGAUCGUGAGGUCAGCACUCUCACCGAUCGGGCCUUUCGAAGUCUCUGCGUUGGAGAUGAGGCGGUUUACAAUGACGAGCUAUUGUAUGGAUACUCACCUUUCAGCUGCCACAAACCUUUAGUGGGGGAUCCUCUUAAAAAGAGUCAUCACAAGGAAUCUAAAAACCAAGGGCAAAGCAAAACUGACAAGAACUAUGCCCAGCCGUGGAAACAGCAGCAACAGAAGAAUAUAUCCCACAUGUCGUCGUUCCUGAAAUCAUUAAGUGCCACAGAGGAAAGCUGUGACGGGAUGUUGAUCAAAAAUGGAGGUACAACAGAUUCUAACGGGGAAUCGUGGGAUAAGUCUGCACUUCGCAGCAUCCAAAGAGAGCUAUCGGAAUUCUCCUCGGAUUAUCAGACUAAUCUCACAGAUGGACAUUACAAGGACCAUCAUUGGCUUCACUCUGGUGAUGGUUCAUCAAGCAAAACAUGCAAAGAUGCUGCUCUUCCCUCAGGAAAAUCCUCAAAGAGCAAAAAUGGGAAAUCCACCAUUAAAGUCAGGAAACUUAACAUUAAAAACUUUUUCCUCCACAGCGAGUUUAGCCCUUUCCAAACAUGGAGAGAUUUUAACCGGUUCCCCUUUGGCCAAGAGGACACCACUAUUCUCCCCACAGACAAUAUACCUAAAUGGUAUGACUUGUCUUUUUACAAGGAGCUGACAGAGGCACACAGAAAAGAGACUCUGCAUACAGAGGAGGCACAGUCAGGCCAGAAAGCGGCAGUUGAGCCCCCUCCUCCCAUUGCUCCUAAACCCAUCCCUCCCCCUCCUCCGCCAAAAGUCCUGCCAAAGCCCUCAGCCACUCCGGCUGAGAAGAGGUGCUCAUCAGAAGGAGGGGAUGGGAGUGCUGCCCCCUGGAGGCGCAACAGGUCCCGGGCAAGAAGUGUGAUUCCACUCAAUCAGCCUGGGAUACCACCUCAGGAAAACUGUUUAAAAACAUUGGAUGAAAGUCCUUGGUUGGUCAAAAAGGAAGCUAGAUCUGUGGAGGUGAAAGCAAUUGAGGAAGUCAGCUCUUUGGCAUCGACUCCGUUCAGCAUCUGCCAGCUGAUGACUCCCCUAAUUCCCUCCAGACAACCGACAGAAACAUCAGAAAUCCUCCAAACUGUCUUCUCGCUCUCUGCACUCGACCUCCCACUAAGACCACACUCUGAGGCCAAACUGACCCCUGAACCUCCAGUCAAGCGGGACAGCUACAAAGCACUCGCCUCGAGCAUCCUCUUCAACCUCAAAGACAACAGGAAAAGGGUGAAAAGCCGUUACAGCCCUCCUAAAUUCAAAGCAUUAGAAGUGCCUGAGGGUGGCAUCCAAUCUCCACAAUCAGAUCAUCUGAAAUACCCACAAGCUUUCUCUGAGGGUUAUGCGUCAGGCUUAAGCACUCCUGCCAUUUUAAAAGAUGGACAGACAGUCUGCAGUCCUGUUUUGGAAUCUAACAGCACCCCAACUUUUGGUCAUACUAAGAAUGAUACUGAUAGACCUCUUUCAGAUGAUUAUUUGUUAUCAAAUCUAUUGCAAACCAAAAGGGAGGCUGCAGGUAGUCUUGGUGAGGAGAACCCCAUCUCCCCCUUUAUACACUCAAAAAAGAAUCCCAAGGCUAAAAAGCAGAACUACCCGUCUCUGAAUUUGUACAAGAAAGCCAACCCUGUUGACAGUGACAUGAAGUAUCUUCUAGUCCCUCUGAGCCCCGGUGCUCCUAUACAUGUAGACCAACCGACUGAGACAAAUGAACUUUUACUACUCACGCUAAACAAAGAACUCUCUCCAAAAGAACUGCCAAAAAACACAGGGCUUUCACCAAAUACUUUAAAUGUCAACAAAGAUCGUUCACCCAUAUUUGCACCCGAUGCACUUGAGAAAGAGGGGUUGUCAUCAAAUGUAUCAGUAGGGAAAAGAGCACCAAAUGUACCAGACAAAGCAAAACGACCUGUGAAAGACAUUAAAGAAAAAUACUUCAGCUCUAAGGAAAAAUGUACUAGUGGACAAUCCAUAAGUACAACAGACGUGAUCAGAGCAGCAAGGGAAGCAAUUAAUGCAGCCAAACACAAAGCUCUAUCUGAAGCGCACUCAGGUAACAUGAAUAAGCACAUUGCAGACACAGAAGAACUGAGAGAGAAAGAAAUAGAUAUGAAGUUCUAUUCAAAAGAAAUGUUUGUCAGCAAGAGGGAGAGUUCUGAGCCAGAAAACAACAAUGUUUUAUCUCAGAGUAGAAAUGAACCAACAAUGGUCGGCAGAAGAGGUAUUGUCAAGAAAGAGCCCCCGCCAGUUCCAAAGAGAAAUUUUGCUAAAUCUGAUAUUCAACUCUCUCUUGACAACCAGCAAACAUAUAAUGUGGACAAGCUCACUAAUGGUGAUUCGGGGGAUGCACAAUUAGAUCUACCACCAAACGAAAAGGAAUCGCUUCAGAAACAGGGCAAACUUAAACAUGUAUUCUCAGCCAGACAGAACAAUUACAUAAAAUAUCAGAGAUAUGCAGAGACAGAUGAUGAACAAGGAGAUGAGUUUGAGGAAGGUGAUCUGAAAGUGAAGACAGGAAUGGAAGCGGAUGAGGAGACGAUGUCGCUUAGAGACAGCGAGCAUAUAAUUAAUGAUUUGCAUGCUUUGAAAGAGCUGGAGAAAGCAAGGCUUGGCGAUCGUGUUCUGGACACCACAAAGAACACAUCAGGUGUUAUUAACAUAGACGAGGAGACGAGGGCUAAGAAUGAUUUGAUCUCAAGGGAGCUGAGGAAUAUUAAGAAGGGCAUGCUGUCUAUGAGAGGGAACACAACGUUUAAGAGAGAACUAUUUUCACAGAAAGAGAAGGAUCAGAACAAGCAUGAGACUUUCACAAAGGUAGACAAUAACGUCAUAGUAAACAAAACACUUAUAAAUAACAACUAUGACAGAGCAAAAAUGGCUCUUGAAGAGAUCAUCUCAGACAGGCAGAAGAGAAAGAAUAGAUCCACAGAGCAGGAUUCAAAUCCAAUAUUUGAUGAGAACGCUGAUGAAAGUUAUGUAACAAGGGUACAGCAACGUAAGAAAGCCAUGAAAGAAUCUAUGACAGAAGCCAUGGACAAACAAAAUGGCAGCACUGUGGCACUAAAAGAGAAAGAUUUAAAAGAGAGGUUAGGUAACUUAAGAGACCACAAUCACAUGAGACAGAUCCUGUCACAAACUGAGCCUCCACUUGGUGAGACUCACAGAUCAGCUGGUCGGUUUGCGGUACCUGGGAUGGACAAAAUUGACGAUCCUAGCUAUGAAUCAGAAGAUGUGAAUUUGAGAGACAUAGUGAGACAAAUAUCUGAAGAGAGCGGAGAGAGUCUGAUGAACCAAAAUGAAGACAAAAAGGGAGAUGCUCCUCCUGUUCCGCCUAGGAGCAAAAAGGGAGGGAGUAGAAGAGAUGGAAGUGUUACUAAGGAGACAGAUAGUUUGAAAGAUGUAAGAGAAGAGGAUAUCUUUAACGAAGAUGUAAAGUGUGAAUAUGGUGAGGUACACUUAAAAGAGAUGAGGAGUACGGGCUCAGUAAAACAAAAAGUAGAUAGUGACCUGUCCACAAGAGAAGCCGGUCAAAGUGGAACCAGUCCUGUUAAAGAGAGGUGGGAUGUGAUGAAUAAUGCAAUUAUAUGUGAGUCCAUCUCACCUUUAAAAUACCCACAAUCUGAAAAUAGAUUGUUUUUAUCACCAGAGUCAAGAGGAAAUGAAAAUAAGGCAUUUAACUUGCAAGUAGAUAUGAGCCCAACAAGGGAAGCCAUGUUUGAAAAAAGCAAUGCCAGGCCGCAGGAAACAUACAAGGUUAAGCGGAAGGCUCCCCUAAAACCAGACCAUUUAAAAACACCAGAUGACAAUGUAACUAAUAAUUUAGUGCCAGAAGAACCUGACAAAAUAAAUAUAGCAAGUGAGGAAAUACAUGUGCAUGCAGAGGCUCUUGGUGAAAUGCCCAGGGAUAUAAUAUCACCCUUACUACUGGUAAAUGGUAUAAGCAUCAAUCAGAGCCCACCCGAUCAAGGCAGCUUGUCCUCAAAAUCAUCCUACUUCUCUGCAGAGAGUGCACUUCACAGAAACACUGAGACAGAGUCAAACGUGUACCACUCUCUGGAGAACUUGAUUGGAGAGGUGGAUGAGGUUGAUGAAGUGACGCGGAAUAUUUCACAAAACACAAAACAGGAUUCGGAGAGGACGGAAGUGGAAUAUUAUUCGUUGAGUGAACAUGAAAGCGAGCCGGAGGUUGUAAAGCAACCAAUAACAUCUCCUCAGAAAGAAACAGAAGUAGCGUACAUGGACAGCAAAGAAAGAGGCAAUACCACGGCAGAUCCAGCCUUAGCUCAUGAUGAAAAUAAUCAGACACCAAUGUCGCCCUCCAACAUUUUCUCACCAACUUUGGGGAUCCCUGCCUUAUUUAAGGUCAAAGACAACACUUGUAAUAAGGUGAAGUUGAAGACUGUCCAACCGUGGUCACCAAGAGGGAUUCUGAGUGCUUCAGAGAGGGGAGAGGAGUUACAUCAAGUGAAGGAAAAUCCAGAGCUCCCUCCGGCUAAUGAGCCUGUCACCAGAGGUAGCACACCGAUCCCGGAUGAAGUCUUCAAUCCUAAAGAUAUUCAAUCAAACAUUUUACCUUACCUGCUGCUGUCUCCUUCAAAUCUUCAAAGCGAAAACCCAAAGACACCACAAGUUGGAGGGUUCCUCACUGUCCCACAGGAGGAAGACAGAUUGUCUGGCGUGAGUCCGUCAUCUGAAGGAGUGGAGAGCUUAAUAACAAGCACAGCUGACACCGCUGAUGAGCUGGGAGCGAAUGGUGGAGUUUCGAAGGUUCCCAGUGAACGGUCUGGGUCCACCUGCAGUGGUAGUGAAAGCCAAACAGGGCUGCCUAAACCACCAGUUGUCUUACCCAAAUCUGAAAAGGCUGUUCUGAAAGCCAUUAAGCUGGGAAAUAGAAGGAUGAAGAAGGAGGAGGCACAGAAGUCGCCCCACAAGUCGUCUCAAAGCAGCAGCAAACAAAGAGUGGAUAGACACAAGAGCGACAAAUCCGAGCACAAAAGCAGCAGCAGUAGAACAACUAGCAAGAGCAGUGAGAUAAAUCACAGAGAAAAGACUGACGACGGUCAUCGUCACAAUGAAAGUCAGCACGGCAAAGACAGUCACGACCAAAGUGAGCAGCUACCGUGUGAAAGAAGAGGCCACAACAGUGAAAACCACCAUCACAAUCAGACAGACGUACGCCACAAGACUCAGAGACAGAGCCAUGAUUCUGUGGAAAGCAGUUCCCAGAACAAUGAAGCACUGCCCAGUGUUGCAACAGAAAGGACAAGGUCGCAGCAGCAACAAACACAUUAG
Molecule: long non-coding RNA, 5439 nt
Filed under: Cottoperca gobio
Lineage: Eukaryota; Metazoa; Chordata; Actinopteri; Perciformes; Bovichtidae
Description: lncRNA (ENSCGOG00000017664.1)
Source: RNAcentral